UACAGAGGGUGCAAGCGUUAAUCGGAAUUACUGGGCGUAAAGCGUGCGUAGACGGUUAUGUAAGUCGGAUGUGAAAGCCCCGGGCUCAACCUGGGAAUGGCAUUCGAGACUGCAUAGCUAGGAUGCGGAAGAGGGAAGUGGAAUUUCCGGUGUAGCGGUGAAAUGCGUAGAUAUCGGAAGGAACAUCAGUGGCGAAAGCGACUUCCUGGUCCAGCAUCGACGUUCAGGCACGAAAGCGUGGGGAGCAAACAGG
RNAcentral lists this ribosomal RNA (253 nucleotides) under uncultured bacterium. Its description in RNAcentral is "partial 16S ribosomal RNA". It matches the Rfam family "Bacterial small subunit ribosomal RNA", at positions 524 to 776 of the family's 1533-position model. The record is from RNAcentral.